UUAUGAUUUUAGAACAGGAUUGAGCCUAAGGUUGAUAUGACGGUCUAUUUUAUUUAUUCGCAGGAAGAGAUAAAUGUCAAGUUUCCGAAGAUAAUCAUGAAGGGUGGCGAAAAAUAGAAAAGCCCGUCUCGCUACGAAUCCGGCCCAGGAAAAGGUGCAAACCGACCUAGAGAGAGUAUAUAAGGUGGGCUUAAGGCGAGGAGCAAGAGAGAGCUUUCUCAGAGCAAACUUAAUACUUAGAGCAAUUUAGGCAUUUUUCCGUUUUUACUAUCGAGCUGCGACUCGACUAGGCUAGAACUUAUGUGGCUAGACUAGCGAACGUACAGACAGCUCUCGUGGCCUAGGAUCUUACCUGUUGUUCACGCU
This 366-nucleotide long non-coding RNA is filed under the name Brassica napus (rape). RNAcentral's name for it is "long non-coding RNA (BNAP_LNC010678)". Lineage: Eukaryota; Viridiplantae; Streptophyta; Magnoliopsida; Brassicales; Brassicaceae. The record is from RNAcentral.